CACACACACACACAGAGAGAGAAAGAGACAGACAGACAGACACACAAAGAGAGAGGAGAAUUUAAGUUCCAGUCCAACAAUACUUUAGGAAAGAGAAUAUCAGAA
Long non-coding RNA from Sapajus apella (tufted capuchin), 105 nucleotides. RefSeq lists it as uncharacterized. NCBI's taxonomy places the organism in Eukaryota, Metazoa, Chordata, Mammalia, Primates, Cebidae. The record is from RefSeq and is a predicted model, not a curated record. The transcript is spliced from 3 exons.